RNAcentral lists this ribosomal RNA (483 nucleotides) under uncultured bacterium. Its description in RNAcentral is "partial 16S ribosomal RNA". It matches the Rfam family "Bacterial small subunit ribosomal RNA", at positions 30 to 507 of the family's 1533-position model. The record is from RNAcentral.
UUGAACGCUGGCGGCAGGCCUAACACCUGCAAGUCGAGCGGAUGAAGGGAGCUUGCUCCUGGAUUCAGCGGCGGACGGGUGAGUAAUGCCUAGGAAUCUGCCUGGUAGUGGGGGAUAACGUCCGGAAACGGGCGCUAAUACCGCAUACGUCCUGAUGGAGAAAGUGGGGGAUCUUCGGACCUCACGCUAUCAGAUGAGCCUAGGUCGGAUUAGCUAGUUGGUGGGGUAAAGGCCUACCAAGGCGACGAUCCGUAACUGGUCUGAGAGGAUGAUCAGUCACACUGGAACUGAGACACGGUCCAGACUCCUACGGGAGGCAGCAGUGGGGAAUAUUGGACAAUGGGCGAAAGCCUGAUCCAGCCAUGCCGCGUGUGUGAAGAAGGUCUUCGGAUUGUAAAGCACUUUAAGUUGGGAGGAAGGGCAGUAAGUUAAUACCUUGCUGUUUUGACGUUACCAACAGAAUAAGCACCGGCUAACUUCGUG